UGUGAACUGCAGGACACAUGAACAUCGACAUUUCGAACGCACAUUGCGGUCCACGGAUUAUAUUCCCGGACCACGCCUGGCUGAGGGUCGUUUAUUGAUACAAACCAGACUGUUCGUUUCGUACGAACGAUGUAUUGGGCGUUCGUUGUGCGAAUUUGUUUUUUUCUUCUUUGAUGUAAUCAAUGUUAAGGAAAAUACUUUCGUUAAGGCGUCGCCCGAAAUGAUUGAAGAAAUAAAUUCAAAGUCGUAUUUGAGAGCCAAUAUACGUGAGCAGAUUCAUAAAAUAACCACGCACAAUCGUUGCUCGCGUCGUGCUAUCUCGAACGCAUCUAGUACGUACAUGAAAAAGAUUUGUUGCGUCAAGGAACCCUUGUGCGUUCCUUACAUUUCAUGUUACAUGAUUAAAUCGAUGCUCUUACGAUAGGAUCUUGAUCGACGAGUCCAUGAGCUUAUCUGAAUAUUUAUCUAGAAUAAAGCGGGACCGUUGAAUCGGGUCGUCGAUCUUAAUGGAAAAUCGAUAGUCGUAACUGGUGUAAGAAUAAACAUAACGCACUUGGCUAUAACAUUAACGUUAACGAUCGACGUUUUCGAACGCUCUUUAUCUCGUCUUUCGUGUUGUUGUUAAUAUCCUGGUUAUUGAUAGAUGAUUUUGUGAUGGUCUGUGCCGACAAAUCGACUGAUUUAUUUUCUUCUCAUUGACAGUGCAUAUAAAAACUGUAUUUAUUUUGUAUAGUUUUUAAACUAUCAAAAUAAUGAGAAAAUAUAUUAAUAACAUUGACGACCUCAGAGCAGGCGAGACUACCCCCUAAAUUUAAGCAU
This 819-nucleotide ribosomal RNA is filed under the name Gonatocerus sp. 3 Clade Z. RNAcentral describes it as "eukaryotic LSU rRNA". The stretch from base 1 to 90 matches the Rfam family "5.8S ribosomal RNA", at positions 66 to 154 of the family's 154-position model. The record is from RNAcentral. Lineage: Eukaryota; Metazoa; Arthropoda; Insecta; Hymenoptera; Mymaridae.